Molecule: ribosomal RNA, 242 nt
Filed under: uncultured bacterium
Lineage: Bacteria
Description: partial small subunit ribosomal RNA
Rfam family: Bacterial small subunit ribosomal RNA
Source: RNAcentral
AGGACGAACGCUGGCGGCGUGCUUAACACAUGCAAGUCGAGCGGAAAGGCCCUUCGGGGUACUCGAGCGGCGACCGGGUGAGUAACACGUGACUAACCUACCUUCGAGUGGGGAUAACCUCGGGAAACCGAGGCUAAUACCGCAUAACAUCGCAAGAUCAAAGCAGCAAUGCGCUGGAAGAGGGGGUCGCGGCUGAUUAGCUAGUUGGCGGGGUAACGGCCCACCAAGGCGAAGAUCGGUAG